GACGAACGCUGGCGGCGUGCUUAACACAUGCAAGUCGAACGGAAAGGCCCUGCUUUUGUGGGGUGCUCGAGUGGCGAACGGGUGAGUAACACGUGAGUAACCUGCCCUUGACUUUGGGAUAACUUCAGGAAACUGGGGCUAAUACCGGAUAGGAGCUCCUGCUGCAUGGUGGGGGUUGGAAAGUUUCGGCGGUUGGGGAUGGACUCGCGGCUUAUCAGCUUGUUGGUGGGGUAGUGGCUUACCAAGGCUUUGACAGGUAGCCGGCCUGCGAGGGUGACCGGCCACAUUGGGACUGGGAUACGGCCCAGACUCCUACGGGAGGCAGCAGUGGGGAAUAUUGCACAAUGGGCGGAGGCCUGAUGCAGCAACGCCGCGUGCGGGAUGACGGCCUUCGGGUUGUAAACCGCUUUCGCCUGUGACGAAGCGUGAGUGACGGUAAUGGGUAAAGAAGCACCGGCUAACUACGUG
Molecule: ribosomal RNA, 468 nt
Filed under: uncultured bacterium
Lineage: Bacteria
Description: partial 16S ribosomal RNA
Rfam family: Bacterial small subunit ribosomal RNA
Source: RNAcentral